This 427-nucleotide ribosomal RNA is filed under the name Yaniella sp. Its description in RNAcentral is "partial 23S ribosomal RNA". It matches the Rfam family "Bacterial large subunit ribosomal RNA", at positions 2502 to 2925 of the family's 2925-position model. Lineage: Bacteria; Bacillati; Actinomycetota; Actinomycetes; Micrococcales; Micrococcaceae. The record is from RNAcentral.
AUAUCGACGGGAUGGUUUGGCACCUCGAUGUCGGCUCGUCGCAUCCUGGGGCUGUAGCAGGUCCCAAGGGUUCGGCUGUUCGCCGAUUAAAGCGGCACGCGAGCUGGGUUCAGAACGUCGUGAGACAGUUUGGUCUCUAUCCUCUGCGCUCGUUGGAAUUUUGAGAAGACCUGCCCAUAGUACGAGAGGACCUGGGUGGACGAACCUCUGGUAUGCCAGUUGUCGCGCCAGCGGCACGGCUGGUUAGCUACGUUCGGAAGGGAUAACCGCUGAAAGCAUCUAAGCGGGAAGCCUGCUUCAAGAUAAGAAUUCCAUGAGACCUCGAGUCUCUGAAGACUCCAUGUAGAACACAUGGUUGAUAGGCCGGAUGUGGAAGCCCCGUAAGGGGUGGAGCUGACCGGUACUAACAGUCGAAAGGCAAUCAUAC